This 1155-nucleotide ribosomal RNA is filed under the name Triticum aestivum (bread wheat). Its description in RNAcentral is "partial small subunit ribosomal RNA". Lineage: Eukaryota; Viridiplantae; Streptophyta; Magnoliopsida; Poales; Poaceae. The record is from RNAcentral.
AUGCUCCGCCUCCGGUGCUCCAUCCUCGCCCAGAUCCUCUCGUCUCACUCGGCCUCUCCCUCCCCCGAACUCUGGCGCCUCAUCUCUGCUGCCACGCCCGCCAUCUCCCCGAGCCCUAGCUUCGCUGUGGAGGAGUAUCUCGUGCAGACCUGCGGCCUCACCCGAGCCCAGGCCCUCAAGGCCUCGGCGAAGCUCUCGCACCUCAAGUCCCCCUCCAAGCCUGACGCCGUCCUUGCCUUCCUCGCCGAUCUCGGCCUCUCCAGCGCCGAUGUCGCCUCCGUCGUCGCCAAGGACCCGCGGUUCCUCUGCACCGGCGUGGACAGAACUCUGGUCCCCGUCGUCUCCGGGCUCACCAAUCUGGGCCUGCCGCGUCCCAAGAUCGCGCGUCUUGUCUCGCUCGUCGGCAGAUUCUUCCGCAAUAAAUCCGUCGUUCCCAAGCUGGAGUACUACCUGCACCUCUUCGGCUCCUCCGACAACCUCCUCCGGGCGCUCAAGCGCAGCUCCUACUUUUUCAGUUACGACCUCGAGAGGAUUAUCAAGCCCACUGUCGUGUUACUGCGGGAGUGCGGCCUAGAUGAUUGCCACAUUGCCAAGCUGUGCACGGAUAAACCGGGGUUGCUCAUCACCAACCAUGAGCGUGUCCUAGAGAUGGUGGCAUGCGCCGACGGUCUCGGUGUGCCCCGUGGAUCUGGGAUGUUCUGGCGUGCCCUGAAGGCUGCUGCAUCUAUCCGCCAGGAGAAUAUGGCCGCCAAAGUGGACUGCUUGAAGAACACCUUCAGGUGGUCGGAUGCUGAGGUGGGCAUUGCUGUUUCUAACGCUCCACAGCUGCUGCCGAGUUCCAAGGAAUCGCUGCAGCGCAAGUCCGAGUUCCUGAUCUCUGAGCUGGGGUUGGAACCGUCAUACCUGGCUCAUCGGUCGAUGUUGCUCACUUAUAGCGUGGAGGGCCGGAUGAGACCUCGGUACUACGUUGUAAAGUUUCUCAGGGAAAAUGGGCUGCUCAAGCGCAACCCAGGCUACUAUACUGUUUUCAACAUUACCGAGAAGAUUUUCAUGGGGAGGUUCAUAUGCCCUCACACGGAAGCUGCACCGUACCUUGCUGAAGACUAUGCCGCCGCUUGCAGAGAGGAAAUGCCCGCUAGAUUCAUAUUUACAUGA